Peromyscus eremicus (cactus mouse) is the source of this 963-nucleotide long non-coding RNA. RefSeq lists it as uncharacterized. The transcript is spliced from 5 exons. The record is from RefSeq and is a predicted model, not a curated record. NCBI's taxonomy places the organism in Eukaryota, Metazoa, Chordata, Mammalia, Rodentia, Cricetidae.
AGAAAUGCUCCUUUGUGGCCACUGAUGGUUACUGUUACUGUGUUUUACAGAUACAUUGUUUUAAAACUAUCAAUUAUAAUUCAAAAUUCAGAAAGUAUGAUUGAGAAAGGUAUCAAAUUUAAAUAAUAUUUUAUUUAUUACUGUUCUGUGUGGAUGAUGUGCGUGGGGGUGGCACAUGUGUGGAAACUGGUGGACAACUUGGUGGGGUCUCUUCUUCCACCUUGAGUUCUGAGGAUCAAGCAAAGAUCAUCAGGCUUGUGUGUCAAGAAGCUCUUCCUGCUGAGCUUUGUCACUCGGCCAAUGUCAGAUUUUAAAAGAGAAGGCUAGCCACAGCAGGAGUUAGCACACAUCCACCAGUGUGCGUUUUUUAAUUUUUUUUGAGAAUUUUUAUACAUGAGGCCAAUGAAUUUUCUCAUCUCUUCCUUGCAACUCUUCCUGUGUCCCCACAAUGUCCCCUUCUCAAAACAUUCCAUUUUCAAAUUCACUUCUUCUUCCUCGAUAAGUAAUUUUACACCAUAUAUUCUACAGAGUCCAAGAUAUACCUGGGCUCUCAGAGCCUCAGUGUGUGUUGUGUUACAGAUACCCCAUUUGAAGACAGACACCCACAGUCACGUGUUCUCUGAACUCUGACAACAAUCUUGUGUUGCAGAAGAAACCCCUUGAUGACAGAUUAACCUGUCAGAAUGGCUAAGAUCAACAGAAGAAGUGACAGCUCAUGCUGGGGAGGAUAUGAAGCAAGAGGAGCACUCCUCAUUUGCUGAGCUCAGGGAACCCUGCAGAAGAGGAGGCAAUGUAUGCAAGAGCCAGAGGGGAUGAAGGACACCAGGACAGCAAAACCAACUAAAUCAACAGAGCAAGGCUCAUAUGAACUCACAGAGACUGAAGCAGCAGGCUUCAGAUUUGAAAGAUGUUGGAAAGUGGCAGAGGCAUGAAAGUAGAAAAGGCCAUUUCUGGAAAGAGAAA